AUUUGUACCCCAUUCAAGUAGAGAACUGUGAACCAGGUCAGGAGCGGAAGCUAGCAGCCUUAAGCAGUAUCGCUAUUGUGAGUGGUAAGUGCAAGUCCC
This 99-nucleotide signal recognition particle RNA is filed under the name bacterium. RNAcentral's name for it is "signal recognition particle sRNA small type". It matches the Rfam family "Bacterial small signal recognition particle RNA". Rfam says of the family: The signal recognition particle (SRP) is a universally conserved ribonucleoprotein involved in the co-translational targeting of proteins to membranes. Archaeal SRP consists of a 7S RNA and homologues of the eukaryotic SRP19 and SRP54 proteins. The record is from RNAcentral.